Molecule: long non-coding RNA, 779 nt
Organism: Misgurnus anguillicaudatus (oriental weatherfish)
Lineage: Eukaryota; Metazoa; Chordata; Actinopteri; Cypriniformes; Cobitidae
Source: RefSeq, a predicted model, not a curated record
AUGUAGGCAGUUAUGCUUUACAAUUAUGCAUACAGAGAUAGAUUGUGGGGGAAAGCUAUUUUUCCAUAUGGAUUUAACUCACAGGCCUUCAGUUUGUUGGAAAAAAGAUUUUUAUUGUGUUAGUGAGGGAAAACUUGCAGGUCAGUGGGCAUUAACCUUAAAGGUUGGUAAACACUUGUACACUGAAGCAUACAAUACUGUACAAUUACUGACAUAGGCAUGUGCUAUUCAGGUGUCAAAGCUGUGCUAAACUGGAGGGAGAAACUUGAGAGACCGUGCCGGAAGAAUGCUGGACAGAGUUCCAUAAAAUUCAUUAAUUUCAAAGUUCAACAUGAAUGGUGGUGGUCCACUGCAGAAGCAAGCAUUUGAAAAAACAUCAGUUCUCAGUUAUUAAAGAUGCUGUGUUGAACAACUUCCCAGCAGCAACAGAACUGAAAGUGAAGGAUGCAAUGGGGGCAUUUCAAACAGGCACUGGGGGGGGGUAUAGAAAUUAGUACAAUUAAUAAGUUGAAGUGAACUGAAGAUAAGUUUGUUAAUGUUUAGAUGUUAUUUCAUUUUUAAAAUUUUAUUUUGUUAUUUAUGCUUUUAUUUUGUUACUGUUUUUAUUCUUUUUGUUAAAAGUAGUUUUUCAUUUUGUCUUAUCUGAAUUUCUAUUGUAUUAACAAUAUUUCUUGUAAUAAAUUGCAUGAUUACAUGUUUAUAAGAACCUUUUUUAAUGGAUUAAAAAUAAUUCUUUAGCCAUUCUUUUGUUGUUUAUUAGACACACACGUGUAGUCAUU